Molecule: non-coding RNA, 78 nt
Organism: Schistosoma margrebowiei
Lineage: Eukaryota; Metazoa; Platyhelminthes; Trematoda; Strigeidida; Schistosomatidae
Source: Rfam
AGCUUUUCGAAUCCGUGCUGAAAUUUCGUCAGACACCAAUACAUUUGGGAUGACCAGACUUCGAAGAUAAGUGAAGUU